GAGACGAGUAACUAUAUAAAUAUGAUGAGGAAGCUGAGGCAAAGAGCACAGAAAGGCCUUGCAGCUUGAUCAAGAUCAUGUACAUGUGUUCUUCCUUGGAUUAAAGGACUAGGAGAAAACCCUGCAACCCUGUGAGUCCGCCCGUUUGUUGAAAUCAGUUCAAGAUCAUCCAGGUCUGCAAAACUCGGCUGAAGCAGCUUGUUGCAUAAUUUACCAGAGAAGAGAGGGCCAUCUGGAGAGCCAAUCUGGAGAACUCGAGCAAAGGCAGAGUCUUUUUUUUUCUCCCCCUCUUAAGUUAUCCUUAUUGACUCUCUGCCUAUAUUAGGCCUCCGCACUCCUUGGCCUGCAUUAUGAAAGAUGGCUCUCCAGGUCAAAGGCCUUGGCCUUCUGGCAUCGAACUCUGACAGAGUACUACCUGGCCCACAAAUGCCAGUAGCCGC
This is a long non-coding RNA of Heterocephalus glaber (naked mole-rat), 440 nucleotides long. The record is from Ensembl. NCBI's taxonomy places the organism in Eukaryota, Metazoa, Chordata, Mammalia, Rodentia, Bathyergidae.